Molecule: transfer RNA, 76 nt
Filed under: Aggregatibacter actinomycetemcomitans NUM4039
Lineage: Bacteria; Pseudomonadati; Pseudomonadota; Gammaproteobacteria; Pasteurellales; Pasteurellaceae
Description: tRNA-Asn
Rfam family: tRNA (bases 1-53)
About the family: Transfer RNA (tRNA) molecules are approximately 80 nucleotides in length. Their secondary structure includes four short double-helical elements and three loops (D, anti-codon, and T loops).
Source: RNAcentral
AGAACGGUGGACUGUUAAUCCAUAUGUCGCUGGUUCAAGUCCAGCAGGAGGAGCCAAAUUCGAGAAAGCCGCUAAG